This 468-nucleotide ribosomal RNA is filed under the name uncultured bacterium. Its description in RNAcentral is "partial 16S ribosomal RNA". It matches the Rfam family "Bacterial small subunit ribosomal RNA", at positions 28 to 507 of the family's 1533-position model. The record is from RNAcentral.
GACGAACGCUGGCGGCGUGCUUAACACAUGCCAGUCGAACGGUGAAGCUCCAGCUUGCUGGAGUGGAUCAGUGGCGAACGGGUGAGUAACACGUGAGCAACCUGCCCCUGACUCUGGAAUAAGCGCUGGAAACGGCGUCUAAUACUGGAUACGAGAAGGGUCCGCAUGGGCACUUUCUGGAAAGUUUUUCGGUUGGGGAUGGGCUCGCGGCCUAUCAGCUUGUUGGUGAGGUAAUGGCUCACCAAGGCGACGACGGGUAGCCGGCCUGAGAGGGCGACCGGCCACACUGGGACUGAGACACGGCCCAGACUCCUACGGGAGGCAGCAGCGGGGAAUAUUGCACAAUGGGCGAAAGCCUGAUGCAGCGACGCCGCGUGAGGGAUGACGGCCUUCGGGUUGUAAACCUCUUUCAGCAGGGAAGAAGCGAAAGUGACGGUACCUGCAGAAGAAGCACCGGCUAACUACGUG